Molecule: ribosomal RNA, 520 nt
Filed under: uncultured bacterium
Lineage: Bacteria
Description: bacterial SSU rRNA
Rfam family: Bacterial small subunit ribosomal RNA
Source: RNAcentral
GCCCUUCACUGGGGAACAACCUGGGGAAACUCGGGCUAAUACCGCAUAAGACCACAGUAUCUGCGGAUACAGGGGUCAAAGAUUUAUCGCUGAGGGAUGAGUCCGCGUCCAAUUAGCUUGUUGGUGGGGUAAAGGCCUACCAAGGCUACGAUUGGUAGCUGGUCUGAGAGGAUGAUCAGCCACACUGGAACUGAUACACGGUCCAGACUCCUACGGGAGGCAGCAGUACGGAAUAUUGCGCAAUGGGGGAAACCCUGACGCAGCGACGCCGCGUGAGUGAUGAAGGCUUUCGGGUUGUAAAGCUCUGUUCUUAGGGAAUAAAAAAAUGAAGGUACCUAAGAAGAAAGGACCGGCUAACUUCGUGCCAACAGCCGCGGUAAUACGAGGGGUCCUAGCGUUGUUCGGAAUCAUUGGCCGUAAAGCGGGUGUAGGUGGUUGAAUUAGUCAGAAGUGAAAGCCCUGAGCUUAACUUGGGAAGUGCUUUUGAUACUGUUUAACUUGAGUGCGGGAGAGGAUAGCG